CUCCACCGUCAUCAAAUAUCAAAGCUCCGACAGCCCUAAUUCUCUUCUCUUCUUUCCUGAUUCUCUGAAAAACAUGGUAAAAACAAUACUAUGACAAACAAAGAGAAAGCAGAAGGUUAGCUAUUUUUUAUCGAUCUCAGGUUAAAUCUCUGCAACUAGGGGAGGAGGAAGGUUGCUUAAUAGUUCAACUUUUUAUUCUGAGUUAGUAGGGAACGACUACCAGGACCUAAAGACAGAAGGAGGGCAAGAAGACGUCAUGUUGAUAAAACUAUCCGAGAAAAGAAAAGAAAAGAAAAGAAAAAAAAGUGGAGAUGAAGUCCGGGUUGCAAGUAUUGUAUUGAAAACAAAGAUGGUUGUUUGCAAAUAACUUACAGAAAGUGUGCGAGUGCGAACUUUGACAUGAUGUUCGUCAUGUUUUGCUUGCUUGCAGAUGAUCAUCAGAGGACACCAACUUUGUAAGCAACACAUAUAAAAACCUUUAAAAUUAUUAAUGAUUAUGAGGUACCUGGACUUGGUAAGCACUCUCUGCACACAUCAAACCAUUUCCGCUCUUAUAUAUGUACAUUUUCAUUAAUGAAAAGGUGCUCUGCUUUGUCUCAUUUUAAAGUUCUGUAGUUUGGUAUGGAUUACUGUAUAUCUGGGAAUAAUUGGAAUGUUAUGUAGCUCAUGGUUCGUGCUAUUAAAAAGAAAAAAAAUUAAGCGUUAAAAGAAAAAAAAAACGUGGCAUAUAGGUUCGCAUUGCUGCCUAAUUUUCAUAAGUAUGGAAUUUUUCUGUCUGCAAAUGUUAGAGGUAGUAUGGGUACGUAUUCAUAUGCUUAUAUUAAACAAACGACUACAAUGUUAGCACCAUAUUUUCUUAUUAUAGUAGUGAUUAGUCAGUUUGGUAAUACCAAAUAAACAUGAAUUUUGAUAAAUUGGAACAGGAAAUCUACUCAUAAUUUUAAAUCAGUCUUUUAUGGCAGGUGUUUUAAAAAUUUAUGUAAUGUACAUAACUCCCUAUACCAGCACGUUCCGUCUUAGCUCAACUGGUAGAGCGCGUGGCAUUCUGCCUUGAGUUAUGGGUUCGAUUCCCAUAGAUGGAAAUCAACAUGAAAGGCUAAUCAGCUGCAUCAGUUUUACAAUAUUAGGUUGUCCUUCCAAUAC
Long non-coding RNA from Papaver somniferum (opium poppy), 1143 nucleotides. RefSeq lists it as uncharacterized. The transcript has 3 exons. Lineage: Eukaryota; Viridiplantae; Streptophyta; Magnoliopsida; Ranunculales; Papaveraceae. The record is from RefSeq and is a predicted model, not a curated record.